This 364-nucleotide non-coding RNA is filed under the name Selaginella moellendorffii. RNAcentral's name for it is "rRNA LSU_rRNA_eukarya". It matches the Rfam family "Eukaryotic large subunit ribosomal RNA", at positions 1594 to 1884 of the family's 3401-position model. Lineage: Eukaryota; Viridiplantae; Streptophyta; Lycopodiopsida; Selaginellales; Selaginellaceae. The record is from Rfam by way of RNAcentral.
UGGAAAGGGAAUACAGAAAUGUGCAUAUCAAUUAGCCCAAAAACCCUAGCUUAUAUACAGGAGCAAGUGGUUCGGAUUGAAACCAAUCCGACGGCUACCAAAAUCCCACUACGCUAAUAUUAGUAUACGGCAUCGUAGCCGUACACUUGGCCCUCACAUAUAUCAUAUAUAUUCUUUUCUUUUUAACGGCCUGCCGACCCUGAAAUCGGUUCAAUCGGAGAUAGGGUCUCACGGCCGGCAGAGCACCACACGUCCUGUGGUGUCCGGUGCGCCCCCGGCGGUCCUUGAAAAUCUGGAGGAGCGAGUGCUGAGCUUGCCCGGCUGUACUCAUAACCGCAUCAGGUCUCCAAGGUGAGCAACCUCU